Molecule: ribosomal RNA, 460 nt
Filed under: uncultured bacterium
Lineage: Bacteria
Description: partial 16S ribosomal RNA
Rfam family: Bacterial small subunit ribosomal RNA
Source: RNAcentral
CCUACGGGAGGCAGCAGUGAGGAAUAUUGGUCAAUGGACGAGAGUCUGAACCAGCCAAGUAGCGUGAAGGAUGACUGCCCUAUGGGUUGUAAACUUCUUUUAUAUGGGAAUAAAAUGUCCCACGUGUGGGAUUUUGUAUGUACCAUAUGAAUAAGGAUCGGCUAACUCCGUGCCAGCAGCCGCGGUAAUACGGAGGAUCCGAGCGUUAUCCGGAUUUAUUGGGUUUAAAGGGAGCGUAGGUGGAUUGUUAAGUCAGUUGUGAAAUUUUGCGGCUCAACCGUAAAAUUGCAGUUGAAACUGGCAGUCUUGAGUACAGUAGAGGUGGGCGGAAUUCGUGAUGUAGCGGUGAAAUGCUUAGAUAUCACGAAGAACUCCGAUUGCGAAGGCAGCUCACUGGACUGCAACUGACACUGAGGCUCGAAAGUGUGGGUAUCAAACAGGAUUAGAUACCCGAGUAGUC